AACGAACGCUGGCGGCAUGCCUAACACAUGCAAGUCGAACGAGACCUUCGGGUCUAGUGGCGCCCGGUUGCGUAACGCGUGGGAACCUGCCCUUAGGUUCGGAAUAACUCUCCGAAAGGGGUGCUAAUACCGGAUAAUGUCUUCGGACCAAAGAUUUAUCGCCUUUGGAUGGGCCCGCGUUGGAUUAGCUAGUUGGUAGGGUAAAAGCCUACCAAGGCGACGAUCCAUAGCUGGUCUGAGAGGAUGAUCAGCCACACUGGGACUGAGACACGGCCCAGACUCCUACGGGAGGCAGCAGUGGGGAAUAUUGGACAAUGGGCGAAAGCCUGAUCCAGCAAUGCCGCGUGAGUGAUGAAGGCCUUAGGGUUGUAAAGCUCUUUUACCCGGGAUGAUAAUGACAGUACCGGGAGAAUAAGCCCCGGCUAACUCCGUG
This 433-nucleotide ribosomal RNA is filed under the name uncultured bacterium. RNAcentral describes it as "partial 16S ribosomal RNA". It matches the Rfam family "Bacterial small subunit ribosomal RNA", at positions 29 to 507 of the family's 1533-position model. The record is from RNAcentral.